Ostrea edulis (European flat oyster) is the source of this 7329-nucleotide RNA transcript. It is a transcript of the gene named WW domain-binding protein 1-like, with no coding region annotated. The transcript is spliced from 8 exons. NCBI's taxonomy places the organism in Eukaryota, Metazoa, Mollusca, Bivalvia, Ostreida, Ostreidae. The record is from RefSeq and is a predicted model, not a curated record.
CGAAUGACAGUAAUGUGAUGCGCGCUCCCUGUAAUCAGGGGGAAAUAACUCGUAUAGCAUUGUGAAAAAUGUAGCUCAUUGAUUAUUCAGAUACGUUUGAAAUAUUUUAUGGUUAUACAAGAUAUUUUACAAUAACUAUUGAAAAAGACUCGAACACAAUUUAUGUUCAUGUUAUGCAUAAAUCUUAUUAAAUCAUUGACUCCGCAAAAUAUUAUGACAUCACAGGAGGGUGGAACUACCUUAAAUAAAGCUGAAUGCUUAUGAAGGAAAAACAGAAAGGGGUACCAAAAUUGCGAAUUUCGAAAACACAGGGUUGUGAAUGUGGGUCCAAAAGAGUCAUAUAGUGUAUAACAUGGAUUUUGUAGCCCUUAGAGCUAUAGUGAUACUUUGAAUUUUUUUUAAAUUUGAUUAAUACUCAAGUAACCAAUAAGGUUUGUGGACAUCUUGUUAAUUUAUGAGUAUUAACACUAUUAAUAGCUCUUCAAUACAGCAUAAACACAUGUAUACAAACUGUAUCAAAACAUAACAUCCUUUAGGCCAAUUCAACUUAAUUAGUAAGAUUAUCAUCCUGGGUCACCAAAAAGUAUGGGGCAGACUGUGGGAAGAUUUUAUUUUUUAAUUUUUAUUUUCUGAGAAAUAUAUUGAUGACAAACGAGUUUUUGUCAACAGAAGUGCAUAAUUUAAUGCCAGAUAUAUAAAUCUAUGUUAUUUCACAGAUGAUUUUUGAGGGGCGGGUGGGCGGGCAUGAUAAUCUAUCAACUACGUAAUUAAUUAAGUGGUAAAAUUACUAUUCUAGCAUCAUGAAUGAUCUUGUACAUGUAAAUUUAGUUUAAUCAAAUUGAAUUAGGUGUGUACUGUAUGAAAAUGUGAAAAAUAAGAUGAACUUUUCAAUAUUUGUUCAACACAUUUUUUAGAACUUGAAGAGCAGAAGAUGCAUUCCAUGACUCUUAUGUGAUAUAGAAGACAAAGAAGAGCUCUUGAGAAUGGAAAAAAAACCUGCGAGUUUUACAGUCAAUGAACACACCUCACGACACAAGUCCAUCAUGAUUCAGUAUACUAUUCUUCUAAGGAAACACCAUGACUUAGUUAAGAUUAAGUUUUGGUGUCAGAAGACUAAUGUAACUAAAACAUUGCAAAAUUAACCUGCAAGUGUCUUAUGUGAGCCUACUGAAUAAGGAUUCAUUACUGAACAGUUGAAGGAAAAUCACUAUUAUAAUGAUUUUUUUAAAAAGAUGAUUGUGUUGUUUGGAUAACAUUGUGAUCCAUGUUUGUUGAAUAAACAACUUUGCAAAAAUGAGUUGUUCUGUGUUAAUAUUAUAAAUUUACUAAUUACUGGUAUGUCAACAUAGAUUACAGUAACACUGAACAAACUUCAAUAAAUUUUAAAGUUUCAUGCAGUUUCUGCAGUAGAAAAUGACACCUAUUGAUUUUCUGGUCCAAAGGUCACUAGGUGCAAUACAAUACUCUGUACAAUUGAUGUCUGACCAGUUUCUUCAGAACCCUUUGAUUGAUAGUGAUAUUUCAUACAGGGGUUGGUCACUGGUAGUAUAUGACCCCCAUUGAUUUUCAGGUCAAAAGAUUAAAAAUAACAGGGGCCUCCGUGGCCGAGUGGUUGGAGCAUAGCGUUCAAAAUGACACGGCCUCAGUCGGCGAGGGUUCGAAUCCCGCUCGCGCUGGUAUUAAGUGAGAAAGUUUCCCAAUUUACUUUCGGAAGGUCGGUGGUCUCUCCGCAGGUACAUUGUAUCUGGGUUCUCACUUUCACCAAUAAACACUGGGCACCACCAGAAAACUGAAAAAUUGUUGAGUGUGGCGGAAAAUAUCAAUAAAUCAAUCAAUUAAAAAUGACUAGGUGCAAUGUAGCUAGUACUCUAUGCAAAGGUGUCCCCCCAAUAUCUUGGGCCUGUUGUUCAAUUAUGAUAUUUCAUAUGUUGGUUGGUUAUGAAUAGUAGAUGACCCUAAUGAUUUCCAGGUCAGAGGUCAACAAAUACAAGGCAGUACAAUGAACAAGUUAUUGGUAUCUACCCAAUAUCUUGAGAAGACUUUUUAUAGUUAUUGAUAAUAGUUUACAUGACAAUACAGUACAUGUAAUAUAGCUCGUUUAUGGAAAUGAUUGCAAAAUCUGUUUGGGGAGGGGGGGGGGGUCCUACUGGAUUACAGUUUAUGUUUACAUGGUUUUUUUUAAUCACUCUAACUAAUUUUUAUUAAUAUGUUAAACUUCUCCAUGUUUAUUUUUGAAAUAUCAAUUGCUCAUAUUGUUCAUUGUAACUGAAAAUGGUGUAGGUUGUAUUAUUUGUCAUUAGUAUGAAUUUUUGGCAAAAUGCCCAAAUCUACAGUUUUCGUACUACAAUAGAUCAAUUGUACUACAUUUCACCAUUAAUCUUUUUAUAUAAAUUAGGAGUCUUUGAUAUGGACACCCUUUGAUGACAGUUGAUUAUGCUGUAUGUAUUUUCCAAAUUAUCUAAAUUCAUCAACGAAAUCCAACAAAAAAUCCCGUUUUGGCAAAAUGCCCAAAUCUACAGUUUUCAUGCUACAAUAGAUCUAUUGCACUACGUUUCACCAUUAAUCUUUUUAUAUACAUUAAGAGUCUUUGAUAUGGACACCCUUUGAUGACAGUUGAUUAUGCUGUAUGUAUUUUCCAAAUUAUCUAAAUUCAUCAACGAAAUUCAACAAAAAAUUCCGUUUUGGCAAAAUUCCCAAAUCUACAGUUUUCGUGCUACAAUAGAUCUAUUGCACUACGUUUCACCAUUAAUCUUUUUAUAUACAUUAAGAGUCUUUGAUAUGGACAUCCUUUGAUGACAGUUGAUUAUGCUGUAUGUAUUUUCCAAAUUAUCUAAAUUCAUCAACGAAAUCCAACAAAAAAUCCCGUUUUGGCAAAAUGCCCAAAUCUACAGUUUUCGUACUACAAUAGAUCUAUUGCACUACGUUUCACCAUUAAUCUUUUUAUAUAUAUUAAGAGUCUUUGAUAUGGACAUUCUUUGAUGACAGUUGAUUAUGCUGUAUGUAUUUUCCAAAUUAUCUAAAUUCAUCAACGAAAUCCAACAAAAAAUCACUUUUUGGCAAAGUGCCAAAUUAUAAUACAUUGGUACAGCGGUCAGUAACACACUCUUUACUAUAGGUGGAUAUAGAUAUCUUAAAUAAGGAGGGAAUUUUAUGGGGAAUCGAGAUUUAUGGAGAAAAUUAGUUGUCUUUUUCAAUUUUUUAUAUACCACAAGGACAAAACAUGGGCAAAACGGACUGAAUUUUGCAGUUCAAUUAGCCCUCAUAGACUGCUGUCGGUUUCCAUGGCAACGGAUGGUAGAAAUUCGGUGGUGGGGUUGAAAUUAUGUAAGAUGGUGCAAGUAAAGUUAAUACUGUGAAAAUCAAAGAAAUCUGUGACAUUGAGUGGCCAGACCCUAUCUGAUUUCUUUGAUUUUUACAUAGAAUUGAUCUUAACCAUAGAAUUUGCAAGAUGCCGGAAUAUAAGAUGUGCAUAAACCAAAUUUGUUAUCCAAAUAAACUAAUAAAUUAAAUGAAAGGACGAAAUACACCCUAUUGUUAUAUUUGUUUAGUACAUUUUCAAGUUAAGUUUUACGAAUCCCGUGGGGAUCCGGGUUAGAAUAGGUCCUCAGUACCCCCUUGCUUGUCGUAAGAGGCGACUUUAUGGGGCGGUCCUUCGGAUGAGACUGCAAAACCCGAGGCCCCGUGUAACAGCAGCUGUGGCACGAUAAAGAUCCCUCCCUGCUCAGAGGCCGUAAGCGCCGAGCAUAGGCCUAAAUUUUGCAACUCUUCACCGGCAAUUGUCACUUCUCCAUAUGACUGAAAACUUCUCGAGCGGGACGUUAAACAAUACACAAUCAAUCAACCACCCAAGACGGUCAAAGUAUCAGGCGGGCGGGGACGGCAUUGCAUAGGAUGGCCCAGCGGCCGGGCUAAUUCAACUGCCAGUCUCAUUAAAUGGCACAAAUAAGCUUUAUUAAACUCAUUCGUAUAAAGUGAUAAACAUCACAACCUGUAAAUCAAGAGUUGCAAAUUUUAAACACGUUUUAGUGUUAUCAGCUUUGUGACUGGCUCAUCGAGUUUCUAACUUAAGGUGGUAUGCUACACCAAAUAAAUUUGAUGUAAAUGAAUACAACAAUAUUUUGAAGUUGAAAUUUUUCAAAUUUACUUUAUUUUAUCACAAAAUUCAGUUUUAGUAGAAGGUAAUCUGAAAAAAUUUAAAACAUCUGCUGGAUUCGAACCUGCUACCUACAAUUAAGCAGUCGGUAUGCUAACCUACUGAGCUACUCAGCUAUGUAUUUAAAUUGAAAAGGAAAAGUCCAAUAUUGCUGAUAUUGAUUUUUUUCCUCCAUGUUUUUAAAGGAAGUCAGUCAUUAUGACGAUGUAGCGUACCUCCUUAGGUAAAAAUAAACAUUGUAGGGGUUCAAGAUCCGUAAUAUCCAUAUCAAUUUCAUCAUUUAAAUCUCUUGAUAUAUUAGUUAAUGACACACACAACACACGUGAUAUAUAUUAUAAAUCAUAAUUUCUAAUCAACAUUUACAUAAACAGAGAGCAUCCUUCUGAAACCUCCACUUCCGGGGUUUUUCUCUAGGUCUGAAAUCUCGUGACAGUGAGAUAAGAUUCAUUCGGAAUCCUCAAUUUAUACCGUUUUUAACACCGAUAAAGAAUACGAUCUAAACAUGUUAGUAGGGGUGCAAAGGACACGUGAUUUAUACUUCCGGUGACAGUACAGCUCACGACACUUCGCUCACUGAGCAUCAUCGAAACCGCUUACGAAGUGGGGCCCUUGCCAAAACCUCACAGGGCGUUCCAGAUAUCCAUAGACAUUGUAAGGAAGUUAGGUUCAGAGCUCUUUAUGAAUGCAUGACUCCGCCUAUGAUUAAAGGCAUUGGUCGGUUAUUUCCUGUUUGGAACCAAGCGCUGUAGACACACAACCUGUUUAGACGAUUAUUACUGUUGUGGAGGAGGCGAAAUCUGUUGUCUACAGACAUCCAGUUUCCGUGUGUAUGAACACUGGUGGUUUUGGGCCAUAAUCUUGAUUGGAUGUUUGGUGUUUGGAACAGGAUUGUAUUGCACGAGAAAAUGCAAUGCCUACAGGGACACGUAUAGACCGAUAUAAAGUUCCGCAAAUUCAAUACGUGUUGGUGAAUGCAAAGUAGGGAUCCAUCUGAAAUAUAAGAGGAAAUUCUAGUUAAUAACUUCAUCUACGCUAUUUAUGAUUGAAUAUUGACCAUUAAUACUAUUCGUGUUUCUGUGUUGUUCAUGCAAUGAUUUUGUCACUUUUGUACAUGAUAUUUACUACAUAAACUGUGUUUUUAAAUUUUGAAAUCGAACAUUCACGCGAAUACACAAGUUGCGUGUGUGUUUUUGCUGCGUUAAAGGGUCGUUGUUGCAUGAUAGGUUGAUAUACAUCCAGUUGAGAAUUUUUCACUCAUAUUGAGACGUUACCAGCUGUAGAUGAAGUACCGCUUAGCGCCCAGGGCUGUAGCAGUCAGGGUUCUUUAAUGUGCUAAUGCCUGCCGCAACACGGGACUACUUUCAGGGCCGUAAAUUACAUGGAGGCGAAGGAGGCAGCUGCCUCCUCCAACUUUUGAGCCAAAAAAAAUUUAAAAUUUAAAGUUCAUUAGAAUUUAUGUUGUUUCCAAUAACUAAGAACAUGAUACCUCCCUUAAAAAGCAUUCCAAAUCUUUCUUUUAGAAUGAGUUAGUCAAGUAACAUCUUAGAAGGCCCUAGAAUCAAGGAUUUUGCACGAAACGUGUUCAGUGUGCACAAAAUGUGCUCAGCGUCCAGACCCCCGCCUAAUUUCCUGCCUCCUCCAAAUUGAAGGUUAAUUUACGGCCCUGACUUUUUUAAAGAUCAUAUACCUGGUAUAAAUGAAAGACCCGUGAUUGUUAAUUCUAAAUGCCAAGCGUUUGGAGACCAAGAUCAGGUUUGACGCGACCAUGAGGUUUUGGUGAUUCACAGAGACGUAAAUGUUUAAACUGCACGUGCACAAAGGACUGGUGAUACUUUACCGGGCUAAAAUGAUGAUUAGCCUCAAUAGUCAACGUAAAUUACUUCUCUUCUGAAUCAUAAAAAGGGCUUCUGUUAUAUACCGGUGUUCAUGUGACAGGAAACCCGGAUCUAGAUAUUAAUCCUUUAAUGUAUAGAAUAUGGAGCGUCUUGCCCACUAUUUGAUGCUGUUUAUGUUUGAUGUGUAUCGCCAGAUAUUUUCAGUAAAGGCUUCAGGUUGCAGUCAAACCGUUGGUUGUCCAGGUGAUUACUUCUGUUGUCACGGAGGAACAAGAUGCUGUAAACUCCAACAAGUGUAUCAGUUGUGGUGGUUUUGGUUCAUUCUCGUGGUAAUACUGUUCCUGAUUAUUAGCUGUAUACUAGUUCUGCGCAGACGCAGAAAAAUCAGGAAGAAUUACACCCGUUUUAACCAGACUGCAUGUGGAGGAACGAACACUCAACCAAGAAAUUCUUCGUAUCCUGAAACCGAUCCGCCUCCGCCUUAUCCCUCGUCUCCGCCAGAUCAGGAACCACCGCCCUAUCAGUAUCCAGGAAACAGAUCUAAUUCCAACCCUAGCUUGGAUGAGCAAGCUGCUCUUAAUAAAGCUGUUUCGUGAUAACUUACAACACCGUUUUUUCUGCCAUGUACAUUAUAAUGUUUUCAUGUUACACUCUAAUAUACAUAUGUAAUUUCAUAAAGCACAUAACAGGUACUUUGAAAUGUUUUACGUAUUUUCGAAGGUUAACGUAAAAUAUACUUCUCUUUUCUUUUUUUUUUGUAAUUCAUUUAUUUUUUGCUUUCACAAUAAAUAAACAUUUACAUAUUAACAAUACAUGAUAAUAUAGUAUAUACAUAUUUCAAGCAAGUAAAAACAUAUAUGUGUAUAUUUAGGAGUGCAUAUGUACAUGUAUAAUGUGAAAGGUAUUUAAUUUCGAAAAGAUGGGGAGAGAGAAGGGAAGGGGAAAGAGAGAAAGAGGGAGAGAGAUAAGGGGAGUAAGGGGAAGAAUUUUGCCUGGUCCACUGAUCAGUCUCCAUCAUUUCAUAUAAAGCAAUUGUUUUCUGUUAACAGUACAUAAUUAAAGCAAAUCACAUACAUUCUGCCAGUAUUUCUCAUAUUCAGUAUAUGUACAGCUUUUUAGCAACAUAGAUUUUUCUAUAUAAAAUCUAUCAAUGAUAUGUUUUUUGACAGCAUAAACAUUUAGUUUUGGAGCCAUUUUAUACCUACUUGCAAAUAUGUAAUACUUAACAAUAAGUAUUAGUAAAUGUUGUACUUUGUAUAAGUUUCUGUUAUUGUAUUUGCCAAAUAGUAUGGCUUGUCUAUCACAUAUAAUUGGUUUAUUAAAUUUAUUGAGAAACCAGUC